RNAcentral lists this long non-coding RNA (318 nucleotides) under Prunus persica (peach). RNAcentral's name for it is "long non-coding RNA (PPER_LNC006445)". The record is from RNAcentral. Lineage: Eukaryota; Viridiplantae; Streptophyta; Magnoliopsida; Rosales; Rosaceae.
UAAGAGCUUUUACUUUUCUGUUAGUUACAGGUUUAUAUAUAUGUGUAGAGAUUUUAUUUUAAGUGUUUUUAAAGAGUUAUUUUUGUAUAUAUGUCAAAUUGUGAUUUACAAGAAAUAAAAAUACCUUCUUUAAAAAAAAGAGGAAAGUAGUGUUUUUUUUUUUUUUGGGGGUGAGUUUGUAGCACAUAUUCUCUAUAGUAUCCACCCCUUUACAUUUAAUUUGUCUUUAUGAUGCAGGCUUGUUGACUAGUCAACUAAAUAGAAAACAAAAACUAGACCUAUCUUGUUUUUUUUUAUCUUUUAGGCAAGUACACACUA